This is a long non-coding RNA of Salvelinus sp. IW2-2015, 353 nucleotides long. RefSeq lists it as uncharacterized. NCBI's taxonomy places the organism in Eukaryota, Metazoa, Chordata, Actinopteri, Salmoniformes, Salmonidae. The record is from RefSeq and is a predicted model, not a curated record.
AGAAAAAAAACGUCAACCCCUGCUUUGUAAACUCAUUCCGUACUAUCACUACUUUUGAGCCAAGGCCGCAAACUUCUCAACGAGUCUAGUGAAACAGAUAGUUUCCCACUCUGUUCGCAUCGUUUUAGAGCAGUUACACACAUGCAGGACAGCAGCCCCAGAAUAGUUAUGGACAAGAUCAUCUGUAAAUCCUUCCGCUUUCUGAAGGAUAUGCAACAUUAAGCCAACUGCAUCCCGGGGAUAAAUGAUAUGGAACCGCCUUCAUUAGAAUGGAAUUCCGAAGAGCAACGGUUGGACACAGAAUUUUACGAGAUAUCUAUAUGUCAACUGUAUGUAUUUUUUAUGAUAAAAUG